RNAcentral lists this ribosomal RNA (343 nucleotides) under uncultured bacterium. Its description in RNAcentral is "bacterial SSU rRNA". It matches the Rfam family "Bacterial small subunit ribosomal RNA", at positions 29 to 355 of the family's 1533-position model. The record is from RNAcentral.
AAUCAACGCUGGCGGCGUGCCUAACACAUGCAAGUCGAGCGCGAAAGGGGAGCAAUCCCCAAGUAGAGCGGCGAACGGGUGAGUAACGCGUGGGUAAUCUGCCUCCGAGUGGGGAACAACACCGGGAAACUGGUGCUAAUACCGCAUGACAUCGUUGGACCUUCGGAUCUGACGAUCAAAGACCGGGGACCGGCAAGGCCUGGCGCUUGGAGAGGAGCCCGCGUCCGAUUAGCAGUUGGUGGGGUAAGUGGCCCACCAAGGCUACGAUCGGUAGCCGGCCUGAGAGGGCGGACGGCCACACUGGGACUGAGACACGGCCCAGACUCCUACGGGAGGCAGCAGU